CGAGAACCGAAAGGACCUCGACGGUGAACGUAGUUGCAGAGAGUCAGAGAACUACAAAUGAAAAGCAAGAGACGGACGGUUAAGCCUCGGCCUGUGAAAAGCUCCAGACUCUUCUCUAGGGCACCGCCCCAGCUCUUCACUCAGGAUGAGCAUGAUGAUGAUGAUGAUGAGGAUUUGAGUUCUGGGUUAAGCAAAGAACAGUGCUUGUUGAAGAAUCUAUAUGGAGUUCGAUAGGUUAGAAGUAGAUAAUUGUGUUAGGUGUAAUGGUGGUAGUGGGAACGGGAAAUUGUUGGUUUGUACUGAGAUGGGUUGCCCAAUUGCUCUGCAUGUGGAGUGUAUGUGUGCUAAACCUGUGUUUGAUGAAAUGGGCAAUUUUUACUGUCCUUAUUGUGCAUAUAAGCUGAAGUUUGUGCGGACUCAGAAGCUGAGGAGAAAGGCAAUGGCUUCCAAGAGAGUCCUGUCCAAGUUUAUUGAUGCCGGAGAGGGAAAUGGUUGCGGCUAUGGUGACGGGUGUGGUGGUGGUGAAGUUCGGGAUCAGACUGUGGGGAUUGAAGGAGGUGAACCCGAGGAAGAGGACAACGAGCAGAGAGAGAUUGAAAAUGUAGGAGGUGGAGAAAGAAUAGAUGAGGACCAGCAGGAGGGGGAAGUUGUUGAAGAGACACCUGAAGUGGAUGCAGAGCCUGAGAAUGCUUGUUAUGUACAAGAAAAGACAAAUAAGGACCAUGGACAUGAUGGAUUAGACCAAGGAGAUGAGGAAGGUAUAAGGGUGUCUAAGGAGAAUGAAGACAAAAGUGACGAUGAAGAACAAGGGCAACCAGAAGCAAACGAGGUACCUGCAAAUGGCACUGUCGUGUCCGAAUCUGAGGAGUUAGAUACUGGGUCUCCUCUAGUGCGGAAGAAGCGUUUCAAGAGAAAAGCUCAAAAGGCAGAACAGCCUCAGAAUUUAGCUUCAUUAAGGACAGUGCCUUCUCCAUCAAGGGAAUCAUCCUCUCGUCAAACAAGUUUUGUGGAGGAUUCAAAAAAGCAAAAUGAGAAAGCUAAAACCUUUUCCAAGAAGGAAAUAGAAGAUCACGAAUUUGCAAGAAACUUGGUACUUCCCAAUGGGAAGCGCAAGAAAUUAAACUGGACAGGUGAAGAGGUAGAAAUGUUAAAGGAGGGAGUGAGAAUUUAUAAAGCAAAAGGCCAAAAGAUCCCCUGGACGCAAAUUUUGGAAUUUGGUCAUAACAUAUUUCACAUAACCCGUCUUCCAGGCGAUCUUAAGGAUAAAUGGAGGAACUUGAUCGGGCGAAGGUGAACUCCACUUUGGACUCAGAGAAAGCAGAACUUUCUAUGCAAGGAGGGUGUUUGGCUUGGGCGUAAUAGAUAACGACAAUGUGGUUGACAAACGCAUGACAACUCAGCUGAAAAAAAGUUUGUCCUCACUGUUUAAGACGCAGGCAUUGUCAUGGAGUAAUUCAAAACUGCUUCAGCCAUGAAGAUUUUUUUUAUUCAGAACAACAUUUUGCACUGUAUUUUUUUGUAAAGCUUUGUAAAAAGGGUGUACCUGUAACAUCAGUUGCAUGCUGAAGUUUCAAAUAUCAAGCGUUGGGGCCAACUUACAUUUUUCUCUAA
Prunus avium (sweet cherry) is the source of this 1611-nucleotide RNA transcript. It is a transcript of the gene named Homeodomain-like superfamily protein, with no coding region annotated. NCBI's taxonomy places the organism in Eukaryota, Viridiplantae, Streptophyta, Magnoliopsida, Rosales, Rosaceae. The record is from RefSeq and is a predicted model, not a curated record.